Molecule: long non-coding RNA, 391 nt
Filed under: Ananas comosus (pineapple)
Lineage: Eukaryota; Viridiplantae; Streptophyta; Magnoliopsida; Poales; Bromeliaceae
Description: long non-coding RNA (ACOM_LNC017685)
Source: RNAcentral
UUUAUAUAUAUAUAAAAUAAUUUAGUUGUUUUAAAUUAAAAUUUUUAAUUAUAUAGAAAUAUAAUUAUAUAUAUAUAUAUUUAUUUAUUAUGUAUUAUAUAUAUUAUUCACUUUCUGCUAAACAAACAGCAGAAUGAACUAAAAAAACUUCACUUCCAUGACUAUUGAAAAAAUAAUAAAAAAAUAAUUUUUACCGAACCUUACUCUAAUUAAAAUUUACUUCAACUCAAAAUUUAGUUUCGAUACCGACCGUUUCUAGCACAAGUGGCAAAAGGUUUGGUGGUUGGUAUCAGAAGUCCCAAGUUCAAAUUCUAGUUGAUUUACAUUUUUAGCUAAGUUUAUUUUUAAAUAAAAUAAACGAAACAGAUAGCAUGCUAUCUAUCUCUAAAAA